UGUGUGAAUAUUGGCACAAUGGGGCGCAAGCCUGAUGCAGCCAUGCCGCGUGUAUGAAGAAGGCCUUCGGGUUGUAAAGUACUUUCAGCGGGGAGGAAGGCGGUGGGGUUAAUAACCUUACCGAUUGACGUUACCCGCAAAAAAAGCACCGGCUAACUCCGUGCCAGCAGCCGCGGUAAUUAAAAAAAA
Molecule: ribosomal RNA, 189 nt
Filed under: uncultured Pantoea sp.
Lineage: Bacteria; Pseudomonadati; Pseudomonadota; Gammaproteobacteria; Enterobacterales; Erwiniaceae
Description: partial 16S ribosomal RNA
Rfam family: Bacterial small subunit ribosomal RNA
Source: RNAcentral